UACGGAGGGAGCUAGCGUUGUUCGGAAUUACUGGGCGUAAAGCGCACGUAGGCGGCUCGAUGCGUCUGAUGUGAAAUCUCCUCGCUCAACGGGGAGAGGCCAUUGGAAACGGUCGGGCUGGAGGGCAGUAGAGGCAGGCGGAAUUCCGGGUGGAGUGGUGAAAUGCGUAGAGAUCCGGAGGAACACCAGAGGCGAAGGCGGCCUGCUGGGCUGCACCUGACGCUGAGGAGCGAAAGCGUGGGGAGCAAACAGG
This 253-nucleotide ribosomal RNA is filed under the name uncultured bacterium. Its description in RNAcentral is "partial 16S ribosomal RNA". It matches the Rfam family "Bacterial small subunit ribosomal RNA", at positions 524 to 776 of the family's 1533-position model. The record is from RNAcentral.